ACUCUUAAGGUUCCGACCACAGACUGCGGAGUGGGUCCGGGGCUGCGAGGGCUGCCCCAGGUCCUAGCGGGUUUCCACGGGCGCGCCCGGCUCCGCCCGCAAGUGCGCCUUCCUGACUUACUGCUGGGUGCGCGGGGCUGGGGGUGCGAGGACCACCCCUGAAGUCUCUUCCUGGGCGACCUCCGGGGCCUCAUUCUAGGCCUCCUUAAAGAGAAGGAUCUAAAUUAGGAAAAGGAAGUACCCUUAUCCACGACCAAGCUCUUCCACCUGCGGAGCUCGCUUAGUCUGCACCUCAACCGUGCGGAAAGUGACUGCCCUGUUUACUGAGGAAAAACUGGGGCUCAGAAAGAUACCAUGGAGUAGUUUGAAACAGGAACAAAAUCUUCUGAAAGCUCGGAGCAGAAGCCUUUUUGGUCAACAUGGAGGAAAAAAGACGGCGAGCCCGAGUUCAGGGAGCCUGGGCUGCCCCUGUUAAAAGCCAGGCCAUUGCUCAGCCAGGCAAGAAUCUGUAGGGAUUUUGUGUGUGUGUGGAUAUGGACAACUCUCAUUCUCUUUUAUUUAUAUCCUUU
RNAcentral lists this small RNA (569 nucleotides) under Pan troglodytes (chimpanzee). RNAcentral describes it as "retained intron". The record is from RNAcentral. Lineage: Eukaryota; Metazoa; Chordata; Mammalia; Primates; Hominidae.